Molecule: ribosomal RNA, 460 nt
Filed under: uncultured bacterium
Lineage: Bacteria
Description: partial 16S ribosomal RNA
Rfam family: Bacterial small subunit ribosomal RNA
Source: RNAcentral
CCUACGGGAGGCAGCAGUGAGGAAUAUUGGUCAAUGGACGAGAGUCUGAACCAGCCAAGUCGCGUGAAGGAUGACUGCCCUAUGGGUUGUAAACUUCUUUUGUAAGGGAGUAAAACGAGGCACGUGUGCCUUUUUGCAUGUACUUUAUGAAUAAGGAUCGGCUAACUCCGUGCCAGCAGCCGCGGUAAUACGGAGGAUCCGAGCGUUAUCCGGAUUUAUUGGGUUUAAAGGGAGCGUAGGUGGGUUGUUAAGUCAGUUGGGAAAGUGUGCGGCUCAACCGUAAAAUUGCAAUUGAUACUGGGAGUCUUGAGUGCAGUUGAGGUAGGCGGAAUGCGUGGUGUAGCGGUGAAAUGCCUAGAUAUCACGCAGAACCCCGAUUGCGAAGGCAGCUUACCAAACUGCUACUGACAUUGAGGCUCGAAAGUGUGGGUAUCAAACAGGAUUAGAUACCCGGGUAGUC